UACCAGCUCUCCGAGUGGUGUGGAUGUUUAUUGGGCCUAAAGCAUCCGUAGCUGGCUAAGUUAGUCCCUUGUUAAAUCCACCGAAUUAAUCGUUGGGUUGCGGGGGAUACUGCUUGGCUAGGGGACGAGAGAGGCAGACGGUAUUUUCGGGGUAGGGGUGAAAUCCUAUAAUCCCGGGAAGACCACCAGUGGCGAAGGCUGUCUGCUAGAACGCGCCCGACGGUGAGGGAUGAAAGCUGGGGAGC
Molecule: ribosomal RNA, 245 nt
Filed under: uncultured archaeon
Lineage: Archaea
Description: partial 16S ribosomal RNA
Rfam family: Archaeal small subunit ribosomal RNA
Source: RNAcentral